This 229-nucleotide ribosomal RNA is filed under the name uncultured bacterium. RNAcentral describes it as "partial 16S ribosomal RNA". It matches the Rfam family "Bacterial small subunit ribosomal RNA", at positions 568 to 796 of the family's 1533-position model. The record is from RNAcentral.
UGCGUAGGUGGCAUUGUAAGUCAGAGGUGAAAGCCUACCGCUUAACGGUAGAACUGCCUUUGAUACUGCAGUGCUUGAAUUAGGCUGAGGUUAGCGGAAUGUGACAUGUAGCGGUGAAAUGCAUAGAUAUGUCAUAGAACACCAAUUGCGAAGGCAGCUAACUAGACCUAUAUUGACACUGAGGCACGAAAGCGUGGGGAGCGAACAGGAUUAGAUACCCUGGUAGUCC